AUUAGGAUGGUUUCAUUUUUCCGCCUGGAUCCUGAUUUACACAAAAGGUAUGAGCAUUCAUAUUUUACUUUGGUAGUUAUUGCCAAGUCCCCCCCGCAAAAUGUCUGUCCCUGUUCAGACUGAGAGGGGUAUGUGCUUCUCCUCAGGCCUGCAAAUUUUGCCUGGCUGAUCUGAUCGGUGAGAAAAAGGAUAUUUUAAUUGUCAUUUUCAUUUUCCUAAUUAAAGAUCAAAUUCUCAUCUUUUCAUGUUUGUUGCCUGCUUGCAUUUCUCUUCAGUGAACCGUCCAUUCAUAUCUGCUGUCAAUUUUCUUAUUGAAUUACUUAUUGUAUUUUUCCUAUUGCUUUAUAGGAGCAUGUUAAAUUAAUCCUUUGUUAUGUAUAAGCCAGCCAUCUCCUCCUCGUCCUUGUUUAUGCGAUCCUUUGUUGUGCAGAAGCUAUAAAUUUGGAUCUAUUCCAUUGUGAGAGAAACCUAACCCUAACAAAAGUAGCAAAUCAACUGUAUUGGAUCAUGUAACUGAACAACUCAGAGACAGGGCUUCAGGUGCCGGCCGAUCCGGCAGCUCAAACAGGGGCCUGAAGAUACUGUUUCAGCUUUGCUUUUUUUCAUAAUACUGUCAUUCCCGGCCUCAAUAGCGUAGCAACAUGACUCAUCGUAGCUUCAUUUAUAAGAAUGAUUAUAAGAAUAAGAUAAGAAUGAUUUAUAAGAAUUCAUUUAUAAGAAUGAAUGUAAACAACACAAUCACGUCUAAAAGUGACUUAAAUACAGUUAUUUUUUCUUUUCUGAAUGUAGGUGGCUCUGAGAAUGAUUCAGUAACUGAAUUACAUUCAGUAAAACGUAAGGGCUCAGGGUAACCUUUUUUUUUUUUUUUUUUUUUUUUUGUCGUGAAAAAAUGGCUACCGUAUUUCUAAGCACUGUGUCCCGAAACAACAGCGUGCAAUGAAGUAGGCAAGGAAGCGUCUUGUCUGGCACAUGUCUCCGCAUCCUCAAGUCUUCCCCAGGACCACCCCUUCCCUGCCCACGCCCCCCAACAGGUGCUUCCUCAGAUUCCAUUGGCUAGAGCUGGUCACGUGCCCAAGAUUCGCUGCAAAGGACGAUGGGAGAGCAAGUAAGUGGCCCUUUCUAAUCUGGCGGCUGCGCUGGGUUGGCAGGAAUAAGGGCUGGGGGAGCUGUGGGGUUGACAUCCAGCGGCACCUGCUCCCAAGGGCAUCUCUCUCUCAGUCACUCCUGCUCCAGAGAUGGGCUUCACUCUGCUUGGACCAACUUUGGUCCCAUGAAUCACUUCCGGGUCUGAGGGAUUCUCCAGCUGAUUGGCCAGGCCAGGUCACACGCUCCACCCGUAGCCCCAGACAGGGAGCUCAUCCUGAACCCUGUCUGUGA
This 1377-nucleotide long non-coding RNA is filed under the name Felis catus (domestic cat). Its description in RNAcentral is "lncRNA (ENSFCAG00000053379.1)". The record is from RNAcentral. Lineage: Eukaryota; Metazoa; Chordata; Mammalia; Carnivora; Felidae.